Molecule: ribosomal RNA, 610 nt
Filed under: Blastobotrys attinorum
Lineage: Eukaryota; Fungi; Ascomycota; Dipodascomycetes; Dipodascales; Trichomonascaceae
Description: LSU rRNA
Rfam family: Eukaryotic large subunit ribosomal RNA
Source: RNAcentral
GCAUAUCAAUAAGCGGAGGAAAAGAAACCAACAGGGAUUGCCUCAGUAACGGCGAGCGAAGCGGCAAGAGCUCAAAUUUGAAAUCUGGCGUCUUUCUUAGGCGUCCGAGUUGUAAUUUGAAGAAGGUAACUUUGGAAACGGCCCUUGUAUAUGUUCCUUGGAAUAGGACGUCACAGAGGGUGAGAACCCCGUAUAUGGCGAGGUGUCCGUUUCUAUGUAAAGUGCUUUCUAAGAGUCGAGUUGUUUGGGAAUGCAGCUCUAAGUGGGUGGUAAAUUCCAUCUAAGGCUAAAUAUUGGCGAGAGACCGAUAGCGAACAAGUACAGUGAUGGAAAGAUGAAAAGAACUUUGAAAAGAGAGUGAAAAAGUACGUGAAAUUGUUGAAAGGGAAGGGCUUGAAAUCAGACUUGGUUUGUAGUGAUCAGCUGUCUCUUGGGACUGUGCACUCGCUACUUACUAGGCCAACAUCAGUUUUGGCGGUGGGAUAAUGACAGUUGAAUGUGGCUCCGCUUCGGUGGAGUGUUAUAGCUUCUGUUGAUACCACCAGCUGGGACUGAGGACUGCGUCUUUGACUAGGAUGUUGGCGUAAUGAUUUUAAGCCACCCGUCUUGA